GCUUCACUAGCUCAAGUGGUCAGAGCGUCCGCCUGUCGAGCGGGAGGCUACCGGUUCAAAUCCGGUGUGAAGCG
RNAcentral lists this transfer RNA (74 nucleotides) under Streptomyces sp. H39-S7. Its description in RNAcentral is "tRNA-Asp". It matches the Rfam family "tRNA". From Rfam's summary of the family: Transfer RNA (tRNA) molecules are approximately 80 nucleotides in length. Their secondary structure includes four short double-helical elements and three loops (D, anti-codon, and T loops). Further hydrogen bonds mediate the characteristic L-shaped molecular structure. tRNAs have two regions of fundamental functional importance: the anti-codon, which is responsible for specific mRNA codon recognition, and the 3' end, to which the tRNAs corresponding amino acid is attached (by aminoacyl-tRNA synthetases). tRNAs cope with the degeneracy of the genetic code in two manners: having more than one tRNA (with a specific anti-codon) for a particular amino acid; and 'wobble' base-pairing, i.e. permitting non-standard base-pairing at the 3rd anti-codon position. The record is from RNAcentral. Lineage: Bacteria; Bacillati; Actinomycetota; Actinomycetes; Kitasatosporales; Streptomycetaceae.